CAGAGGGUGCGAGCGUUGUUCGGAAUUACUGGGCGUAAAGCGCGCGCAGGCGGCCCUUUAAGUCUGUCGGUCAAAUGCCGGGGGCUCAACCCCGGGCGUGCCGAGGAUACUGGAGGGCUGGAGACACGUAGAGGCAAGCGGAAUUCCGGGUGUAGCGGUGGAAUGCGUAGAGAUCCGGAAGAACACCGGAGGCGAAGGCGGCUUGCUGGGCGUGAUCUGACGCUGAGGCGCGAAAGCGUGGGGAGCGAACAGGAUUAGAUACCCUGGUAGUCCACGCCGUAAACGAUGGGCACUAGACGCUGGUGGGAUCGACCCCUUCGGUGUCGCAGCUAACGCGAUAAGUGCCCCGCCUGGGGAGUACGGCCGCAAGGCUG
RNAcentral lists this ribosomal RNA (374 nucleotides) under uncultured organism. Its description in RNAcentral is "bacterial SSU rRNA". It matches the Rfam family "Bacterial small subunit ribosomal RNA", at positions 526 to 896 of the family's 1533-position model. The record is from RNAcentral.